GGCUUUUUUGGAUUUUUAAGCCUUUUUGGCUAUUUAGGCUUGUUAGGCUUUUUAGGCUUUUUAGGCUUUUUAGGCAUUUCUAG
This is a non-coding RNA of Caenorhabditis elegans, 83 nucleotides long. The record is from Ensembl. Lineage: Eukaryota; Metazoa; Nematoda; Chromadorea; Rhabditida; Rhabditidae.